AGUAGGGGCCUCGGCCCCCAAAGGCACGUUUCGUUGACUAAGACACCGCGGCGGAAGGGUCGCGGUGGCCGCCUUGAAGUAUAAUUUCCAUCGAUCGGCGGGUAGAAUCCCUUGCAGAUGACCUAAAUUUGCAACGGGGUAUUGUAAGUGGCAGAGUCGCCUUGCUGCCACGAUCUACCAAGAUUCAGCCCUUUGUCGCUCCGGUUCGUCCCUCCCCCUCCAAUCCAACCAUCUUGCCGCCCGUCUCCAAAGGAGGUUUGUGCAUCCGUCCUUGAAAAAUCCCACCAAGUGUUGCGAGUUCACCUCACCCGAGUUAGCCUCUUGUUUUUCAAGCGUCGCGUGCAUUCCAUUUCGAACAGUUAAGCAUACGAUAUCAAGUGGCCUUUCGCAAAAAAUAACGGCAUCGCAACUAGAGGUUUUUCGCGAUGCGGAGUGUGGCAUAAGUGCUCAGCGACGCACCGAGAACAACAUCGGUGCGUGGAGGCAUGCCGCAAUUAGAGAUUUUUGUGACCGUCGAGUGCAAUGCUGGAGACGCCUCCAAUGACGAACGCCAUCGAACGUAUAGUGGCCUGCCAUGGUGGUGUCUUUGUCAAGUAGGAUAUCCGUGCACCGUGUGCACCAUGGCAUCGUGACACCAUGGAACCAUGGCACCAAGACACCAUGGCACCAUGGCACCAACGAAGCUUGGCACCGUGGCGCCAUGGCACCAUGGCACCAAGGUAGCAAGGCACCAUGGCACCCAGGCACCAAGGCACCGUGGCGCCAUGGAACCGUGGCACCAAGGCGGCGCGGCACCAUGGCACAAAGGCACCAUGGCACCGUGGCACCGUGGCACCAUGGCACACAGGCACCAAGGACUGUGGCACCCUGAAAUCGGCGGGANAGCCUCAGGAAGAUUUAUCUUUUCUAUCUAACAGCCUGCCUACCCUGGAAUCGGCUCAGCCGGAGGUAGGGUACAGCGGCUAGAAGAACACCGCACGUCACGUGGUGUUCGGUGCUCUCCCGGUGGCCCUUGAAAAUUCAGAGGACCGAAUGAAUUCCACGCCGGGUCGUACUAAUAACUGCAUUAGGUUUCCAAGGUGAACAGCCUCUGGUCGAUGGAAUAAUGUAGGUAUGAAAAGUCGGCAAAAUGGAUCCGUAACUUCGGGAAACGGAUUGGCUCUGAGGGCUAGGCACAGGGGCCCCAGUCCCGAACCCGUUGGCUGUCGGUGGACUGCUCGAGAUACUCCCAUGGUGAGAACGGGUAGCCGCAUGCUGAUCGGGGGACGGACUGGGAACGGUUCCUUCGGAGACAUUCCCAGCGCGUCGAACAGCCAACUCAAAACUGGUACAGACAAGGGGAAUUCGACUGUUUAAUUAAAAAAAGCAUUGCGAUGGUCCCAACGGAGGUUCACGCAAUGUGAUUUCUGCCCAGUGCUCUGAAUGUCAAAGUAAAUAAAUUCAACCAAGCGCGGGUAAACGGCGAGAGUAACUAUGACUCUCUUAAGGUAGCCAAAUGCCUCGCCAUCUAAUUAGUAACGCGCAUGAAUGUUUUAACGAGAUUCCCACUAUCCCUGUCUACUAUCCAGCAAAACCAUAGUCAAGGGAAAGGGUAUGGCAGAAUCAGCGGGGAAAGAAAACCCUGUUAAGCUUGACUCUAGUCCGACUUUGUGAAAUGACUUGAGAGGUGUAGUAUAAGUGGGAGCCGAAAGGUGAAAGUGAAAUACCACUAAUUUUAACGUUAUUUAUUUAUUCCGUGAAUCGGAAGUCGGGCACUGCCCCUCUUUUUGGACCCAAGGCUCGCACUGCGGGCCGAUCAGGGCAGAAGACAUUGUCAGGUGGGGAGUUUGGCUGGGGCGGCACAUCUGUUAAACGAUAACGCAGGUGUCCUAAGAUGAGCUCAACGAGAACAAAAAUCUCGUGUGGAACAGAAGGGUAAAAGCUCGUUUGAUUAUGAUUUCCAGUACGAAUACGAAUCGUGAAAGCGUGGCCUAACAAUCCUUUAGACCUUCGGAAUUUGAAGCUAGAGGUGUCAGAAAAGUUACCACAGGGAUAACUGGCUUGUGGCAGUCAAGCGUUCAUAGCGACAUUGCUUUUUGAUCCUUCGAUGUCGGCUCUUCCUAUCAUUGUCAAGCAGAAUUCACCAAGUGUUGGAUUGUUCACCCACCAAUAGGGAACGUGAGCUGGGUUUAGACCAUCGUGACACAGGUUAGUUUUACCCUACUGAUGACAGUGUCACAAUAGUAAUUCAACCUAGUACGAGAGGAACCGUAGAUUCACACAAUUGGUCAUCGCGCUUGUUUGAAAAGCCAGUGGCGCGAAGCUACCGUGUGAUGGAUUAUGACUGAACACCUCUAAGUCAGAAUCCGGGCUAGAAGCGACGCAUGCGCCCGCCGUCCGCUUGCCGACCCGUAGUAGGGGCCUCGACCCCCAAGGGCACGUGUCGUUGG
Molecule: ribosomal RNA, 2429 nt
Filed under: Capsicum baccatum
Lineage: Eukaryota; Viridiplantae; Streptophyta; Magnoliopsida; Solanales; Solanaceae
Description: bacterial LSU rRNA
Rfam family: Eukaryotic large subunit ribosomal RNA (bases 580-2429)
Source: RNAcentral